AAAGCUGGUGAUGAGAAAAUAGAGAGGGACAUCUGAACUCCAUUUGGACUAAGUCUAAUGGGCAUCUCUCUGGUGAUAU
This 79-nucleotide small nucleolar RNA is filed under the name Olea europaea subsp. europaea. The record is from RNAcentral. Lineage: Eukaryota; Viridiplantae; Streptophyta; Magnoliopsida; Lamiales; Oleaceae.